RNAcentral lists this ribosomal RNA (489 nucleotides) under Streptococcus gordonii. Its description in RNAcentral is "bacterial SSU rRNA". It matches the Rfam family "Bacterial small subunit ribosomal RNA", at positions 28 to 493 of the family's 1533-position model. Lineage: Bacteria; Bacillati; Bacillota; Bacilli; Lactobacillales; Streptococcaceae. The record is from RNAcentral.
GACGAACGCUGGCGGCGUGCCUAAUACAUGCAAGUAGAACGCACAGUUUAUACCGUAGCUUGCUACACCAUGGACUGUGAGUUGCGAACGGGUGAGUAACGCGUAGGUAACCUGCCUGGUAGCGGGGGAUAACUAUUGGAAACGAUAGCUAAUACCGCAUAAUAUUAAUUAUUGCAUGAUAAUUAAUUGAAAGGUGCAAUUGCACCACUACCAGAUGGACCUGCGUUGUAUUAGCUAGUAGGUGAGGUAACGGCUCACCUAGGCGACGAUACAUAGCCGACCUGAGAGGGUGAUCGGCCACACUGGGACUGAGACACGGCCCAGACUCCUACGGGAGGCAGCAGUAGGGAAUCUUCGGCAAUGGACGAAAGUCUGACCGAGCAACGCCGCGUGAGUGAAGAAGGUUUUCGGAUCGUAAAGCUCUGUUGUAAGAGAAGAACGGGUGUGAGAGUGGAAAGUUCACACUGUGACGUAUCUACCAGAAAGACG